Molecule: unclassified non-coding RNA, 439 nt
Filed under: fungal sp.
Lineage: Eukaryota; Fungi
Description: partial internal transcribed spacer region
Rfam family: Eukaryotic small subunit ribosomal RNA (bases 1-46)
Source: RNAcentral
AAGUCGUAACAAGGUUUCCGUAGGUGAACCUGCGGAGGGAUCAUUAACACGUAUCCACGUAUACACCAUACGCGAACUAGGAGACCGAGCUUGGCUUUUCGGAGCUAAGCAAAGUCACCAUUCUCCCUAUUCUUUCGUAGCCAAGUGAGUCCCAGUCAGCUUGUAGUGGGUGUUGCUUUCGGGUAGCACAGCUGCUGUGAUUUGCGUUUAGGCUUGUUUGAAUGGGCUUUUUAAUCCCACUACAGAAAAACCUGUAUCACCUCGAUAUACCUAUGGACUGAUUUCGAUAUAUGCCGCUCCCUAUGUUCCAGUAUUUGGUGUUGCUGUAAUGGCUUACCAGAGAGCGAUCUGGGAUGUCGCCGUCAUGUAUCAGCCUUGAUAUCGAUAUAUCAAUAUCAAAUGUUAAGCACAACUCUUAGCAACGGAUAUCUUGGUUCUC